RNAcentral lists this small nuclear RNA (107 nucleotides) under Piliocolobus tephrosceles (Ugandan red Colobus). The record is from RNAcentral. Lineage: Eukaryota; Metazoa; Chordata; Mammalia; Primates; Cercopithecidae.
GUGCUCACUUUGGCAGCACAUAUACUAAAAUUGGAAUGAUACAGAGAAGAUUAGCAUAGCCCCUGCACAAGGAUAACACACAAAUUCAUGAAAUGUUCCAUAUUUUG